This 253-nucleotide ribosomal RNA is filed under the name uncultured bacterium. Its description in RNAcentral is "partial 16S ribosomal RNA". It matches the Rfam family "Bacterial small subunit ribosomal RNA", at positions 524 to 776 of the family's 1533-position model. The record is from RNAcentral.
GACAGAGGUGCCGAGCGUUAGGCGGAAUCACUGGGCUUAAAGCGUGUGUAGGCGGAUCGUUAAGUGCCUUGUGAAAUCCCACGGCUCAACCGUGGAACUGCUUGGCAUACUGGCGAUCUUGAGCCACUUAGGGGCUACCGGAACAAAUGGUGGAGCGGUGAAAUGCGUAGAUAUCAUCUGGAAUACCGGAGGCGAAGGCGGCUCACCGGGAGUUUUCUGACGCUGAGGAACGAAAGCCAGGGUAGCGAACGGG